Molecule: ribosomal RNA, 386 nt
Filed under: uncultured bacterium
Lineage: Bacteria
Description: bacterial SSU rRNA
Rfam family: Bacterial small subunit ribosomal RNA
Source: RNAcentral
AUUGAACGCUGGCGGAAUGCUUUACACAUGCAAGUCGAACGGUAGAGGGGGCAACCCCUUGAGAGUGGCGAACGGGUGAGUAAUAUAUCGGAACGUGCCCAGUCGUGGGGAUAACGUAGCGAAAGUUACGCUAAUACCGCAUACGAUCUACGGAUGAAAGCGGGGGAUCGCAAGACCUCGCGCGAUUGGAGCGGCCGAUAUCAGAUUAGGUAGUUGGUGAGGUAAAGGCUCACCAAGCCGACGAUCUGUAGCUGGUCUGAGAGGACGACCAGCCACACUGGGACUGAGACACGGCCCAGACUCCUACGGGAGGCAGCAGUGGGGAAUUUUGGACAAUGGGCGCAAGCCUGAUCCAGCAAUGCCGCGUGCAGGAUGAAGGCCUUCGG